AGCAUCUGGGGUAGCGGCGACCCAUAUUUCAGUUGAAUCCUCUCCGAGCUCUCCCCUUUUCGGCAUGUCCAACAUACCCCUAAAUCACGUUACGUGUACUGCACAGGCCUCAAAAUGGUGUUGUGUCCCAGACACGCCCACAAGUUUUAACACAGUCACGCCCCCAAAUUAAUCAAGCGUCUGCUGCAAUUUUGGACCAACUGUCACCGGAAUGGCACUGGGAUGAGGUCUCCGGUCCCCGGUGGCUGGUGGCUGGUACGCCGGUCUCUACGCUCUCUCUGGCGUAUGCGUGGGCGAAUCCUUGCUGCGGUUCAAUCUGCUACUGCAGCAAUUGCAUCAGAAUCCGGCCGCCACCUGAUGAUGAGGUUGACGGGUCCAGAACUGCCACUUGUUCCACUGCCAAGGCUGCUGCUGUGUGUGUGUGCUCCCCUUUAUGGGUGUCACGAGCGUACCUGGUGGCUCGGUGACUGCCUGAUUUUGACAAGCUCAAUUAGGGCAGCCAGCACUCUAAACGGAUUGGAAUCGGGAUUGGGUAAUGGCGAUGGAUGUGUUCUGUGUGUGUGUGUGUGCGUGUGCUGCAUCCACGUUGUUAUUCGAAUGGUUUUGGCAAUAAUGGAGAAAAGAAAGCGUUUAAAUUAAUUGCAAUUUUAAGCAGAUUGAAAGUUGUUAAACAGCGAACCAACUUACAACUUACAGCAAAGUGAACGUUAAUACCCAACGCAACCCAAUGGAGAUGCAUGCCACAUGCAUUCACCCAUUGCCACAUCCCCACUUUGGCUUCUGUUGCACGCACACACACUGCACUUAAGAUGAUAAUCAUGUUUACGUGGCGCAAGUUAAAUUGCUAACGUAAUGGACUAACAGCAGGUGAGGCGGAGUCCUGCCUCGAGCAGGAGCCUGCUGCCUGCUGCCUGGAAACUGAAGCUGCUGCUGCUGCUGGAGCAUCUCCUCAUGCGUGC
This 959-nucleotide long non-coding RNA is filed under the name Drosophila guanche. Lineage: Eukaryota; Metazoa; Arthropoda; Insecta; Diptera; Drosophilidae. The record is from RNAcentral.